CAGUCGCCGCGGUAAUACGUAGGGCGCAAGCGUUAUCCGGAAUUAUUGGGCGUAAAGAGCUCGUAGGCGGUUUGUCGCGUCUGCCGUGAAAGUCCGGGGCUCAACCCCGGAUCUGCGGUGGGUACGGGCAGACUAGAGUGAUGUAGGGGAGACUGGAAUUCCUGGUGUAGCGGUGAAAUGCGCAGAUAUCAGGAGGAACACCGAUGGCGAAGGCAGGUCUCUGGGCAUUAACUGACGCUGAGGAGCGAAAGCAUGGGGAGCGAACAGGAUUAGAGACCCCUGUAGUCCCUGUCUCUUAUAC
This 301-nucleotide ribosomal RNA is filed under the name uncultured bacterium. RNAcentral describes it as "partial 16S ribosomal RNA". It matches the Rfam family "Bacterial small subunit ribosomal RNA", at positions 509 to 807 of the family's 1533-position model. The record is from RNAcentral.